RNAcentral lists this ribosomal RNA (1443 nucleotides) under metagenome. Its description in RNAcentral is "bacterial SSU rRNA". It matches the Rfam family "Archaeal small subunit ribosomal RNA". The record is from RNAcentral.
UCCGGUUGAUCCCGCCGGAGACUACUGCUCUAAGGAUUCUGCUUAGCCAUGCGAGAUUAUGAGCAAUCAUGUCAAACUGCUCAGUAUCGCGUAGUCAACCUGCCCUCAAGUGGGGAAUAAUCAUGGGAAACUGUGCAUAAUACCCCAUAGGUGAUAAUAACUGGAAUGUUUCUUCACUGAAAGAUUGCGCUUGAGGAUGGGACUGCGUCAGAUUAGGCUGUUGUUAGGAUAAAGGCCUAACAAACCUAUAAUCUGUAUGGGUCAUGAGAGUGAUAGCCCAGGGUUGUCUUCUGAGACAUGAAGACAGGCCUUACGGGGCGCAGCAGGCGAGGAACCUUCACAAUGCGUGAGAGCGUGAUGAGGGAAUCCUGAGUGAGUUCACAUUUGUGGGCCCUUUUCUCAACUGUAAACGGGUUGAGGAAUAAGGGGUGGGUAAUACGGUUGCCAGCCGCCGCGGUAAUAACCGAGCCCCAAGUGGUAGUCACGUUUAUUGGGUCUAAAGCAUCCGUAGCCGGUUUGAUUUGUCUUCGGUGAAAUCCUAUAGCAAACUAUAGGGCUUGCUGGAGAUACUGUCAGGCUAGGAGCAGGGAAAGGUCAAGGGUACGACUGGGGUAGGGGUAAAAUCCUUUAAUCCCAGCCGGACCACCAGUGGCGAAGGCGCUUGACUGGAACUGCCUCGACGGUGAGGGAUGAAAGCUAGGGGAGCGAUCGGGAUUAGAUACCCCGGUAGUCCUAGCCGUAAACGAUGCCCGCUUAGUGUUGCAGGACUUUUGAGGUUCUGCUGUGCUGUAGCGAAGGUGUUAAGCGGGCCACCUGGGGAGUACGUCCGCAAGGAUGAAACUUAAGGGAAUUGGCGGGGGAACACUACCAGGGGUGGAGGCUGCGGUUCAAUUGGAUUCAACGCCAGGAACCUUACCAGAAAAGACAGCAGUAUGAAGGUCACUCUGAAGGGGUUACCAGACAAGCUGAGAGAUGCUGCAUGGCCGUCGUCAGUUCGUGUCGUGAGAUGUCAACUUAAGUGUUGAAACGAACGAGACCUGUGCCAUUAGUUGCCACUCUACUUUGUAGAAGCACUCUAAUGGGACCGCUGGUGCUAAACCAGAGGAAGGAGCAGUCUACGGCAGGUCAGUAUGGCUCGAAUUUUCUUGGGUUACACGCGGCCUACAAUGCGUAGCACAAUGGGAUGCAACACCGUGAGGUGACGCCAAUCUCCUAAAACUGCGCUUAGUUCGGAUCGAGGGCUGCAACUCGCCCUCGUGAAGCCGGAAUCCCUAGUAAGCGAAGGUCAUCAUCUUUCGCUGAAUACGUCCCUGUUCCUUGCACACACCGCCCGUCAAGUCAACUGAGUGAGGUUUUGGUGAGGCUUGUGAUGAGCAAUUCGAACCAAGAUUUCGCAAGGUGGAUUAAGUCGUAACAAGGUAGCCGUACGGGAACGUGCGGCUG